This 233-nucleotide ribosomal RNA is filed under the name uncultured bacterium. RNAcentral's name for it is "partial 16S ribosomal RNA". It matches the Rfam family "Bacterial small subunit ribosomal RNA", at positions 28 to 261 of the family's 1533-position model. The record is from RNAcentral.
GACGAACGCUGGCGGCGUGCUUAACACAUGCAAGUCGAGCGGUAAGGCCCUUUCGGGGGUACGACGAGCGGCGAACGGGUGAGUAACACGUGGGUGACCUGCCCUCAGCUCUGGGAUAAGCCUGGGAAACUGGGUCUAAUACUGGAUAUGACUCCACGGUGCAUGUCGUGGGGUGGAAAGCCUUGUGCGGCUGAGGAUGGGCCCGCGGCCUAUCAGCUUGUUGGUGGGGGUGA